GUUGGUUAUGGAGACAUGCGACCGGUCACCGUUUGGGGUAAACUAGUAGGAUCAUUGUGUGCGAUUGCCGGUGUGCUCACAAUUGCCCUACCAGUCCCUGUGAUAGUAUCCAAC
This 114-nucleotide small RNA is filed under the name Fasciola hepatica (liver fluke). RNAcentral describes it as "Potassium channel RNA editing signal". It matches the Rfam family "Potassium channel RNA editing signal". Rfam says of the family: This family represents a group of sequences related to the human potassium channel Kv1.1 hairpin element which directs the efficient modification of an adenosine to inosine by an adenosine deaminase acting on RNA (ADAR). The ADAR modification causes an isoleucine/valine recoding event which lies in the ion-conducting pore of the potassium channel. Lineage: Eukaryota; Metazoa; Platyhelminthes; Trematoda; Plagiorchiida; Fasciolidae. The record is from RNAcentral.